This is a long non-coding RNA of Meriones unguiculatus (Mongolian gerbil), 4006 nucleotides long. RefSeq lists it as uncharacterized. The record is from RefSeq and is a predicted model, not a curated record. The transcript has 2 exons. NCBI's taxonomy places the organism in Eukaryota, Metazoa, Chordata, Mammalia, Rodentia, Muridae.
UAAACAGGAAGUUAUAGUAAAGUUAUAGAGUAUUGCCUUAUGCCACUGAAAUGUCUGUGUAUGUGCGUGUGUGUUUGCAUUUGCAUGAGCAUGUGGGAGGUGCAUUUUUGUGUGUGCACAUGUGUGAGCAGGUACACACGUAACAUAGUGUUAUGCAUGUGGAAAUCAGAGGACAACUUUGGAUGUAGGUCCUUGAGCCGGUUCUACUGUUUUUGAGACAGGGCCUUUAAUUAGCUGCGACUUUACCGAGAAGACUAAGUCUAGAUGUCCAGUGGGCUCUGGAGACCCACAUGUCUCCGCCUCCCUCUUCACCGUAGCUGAGGUUACAGUCUGGGUUCUAGGGUUCCAGACUCAGCUCUUCAUGCUUGUGAGCCAAGCACUUUUCCUGAGUGAGCUGUCACUAUGCCUCCCUAGUAAGCUGCAACCCCAGUCCUUGGAUAAUUUCUUCCUGAGUCCAUGAUCCACUGAAGGAUUGGACCUUUUCAGGAUGAGUAUAGAAUUUGGCCUCUCCCAGCUCUACUGUAGGAGUGGAUUUAUUAUAGAAUGUCUUCAUUCUUGGGUUGCCAUGGGAUUUCACACACAACUUAAUUCUAUCCUUGGCUAUAAGGCCAAAUGGCAUUGAAACUCAUGUGGGCUCCUUAUAGCAUGCAUUGUUAACCUGACAACCAAUAGCUGAAGUAAAUGGAGAAGGAGCAAGCAGGGGGAAAGCCCAAGGCUGAAUCAUAUGAAGGCAUCACAGUCUGGGGGGGGGAGGGGUCUAAGUUUAAGCCAAGUGAGGGGAUGUUAUACAAAUGUAGGUGGAAAGCAGGAGAAUCCAAAAACUACGGUGAUAGAAACUGUCAAGUCCUUACUUUACUUCAGGCUGAUGUUGAGGGAAACUGAGGCACAGUCCAGUUAUGUAGUCAAUACAGGAGGUGUGCUCCGUCUAUGGGAGGCUAUUCUGAGACUAGAAUUUAAUCUGCAUUAUGUCUUUUCCUAAGCAUGCACACACAGACUUAGUGCAUCAUCUGUCCUGACUGAGACCCUGUGUUGGCUGCAUCAUGUCUGUAUUUUUUGUUGUUACACAAAACUAGCAUAGAGUUCUUUUUCUUAUUGGUUUCACAGAUGGACAAUCCUCUCUUACAUGGAUGUCAGCAACUACAGUUUAUGGUUUUCUUCUACUCUUGCUGUCAAGUACAUCCAUCUCUGAAAACAAAGAAUGCACUUUAUGGCUUCUCUUCUGUGUUUCCAAGUUGCCAGCAUCCCCACUCUUACACAUUGGGGACAAUGUUCAGUAAAAUAAAGGUGACAUGAACUCAUGCUUUAUGAUAUCUUCUCUCUCUCUCUCUCUGUCUCUCUCUGUCUCUCUCUGUCUCUGCCUCUGUUUCUGCCUCUCUCGCGCACUCUCUCUCUUUGAUAACCAAAAUGGCUGCCAGGUGACUAAGGAGAAGAUAAUCUCAGUUAUAUCUGUGGGCAAAGGGAGCAUGCCCAUCCCCGGUGGGAGUGAGCCAGCUGGAAAAGGGUUGGAUCACCCAACUCAGCAUGCAAUGUGAAACAUAGGAUUGUGUCCUUCUGCAAGUUUCUACUUAACAUUUCCAAACCUUAGCUGGCCACGGGUAAAAGGGCCUAUGAAAGGGAGACCCUCAGCUAAGUGGACUGCCUGUGUCAUCAUAGGGAGCACUUAGGUUCCGGGACUCAGGUACCUAUAUAAACACCCAAGAUGGCUAAGCACUUUCUUCCCAUCUGAGCCAGCCAGGCAGACUCUGGAAAGAACUAACGCAACAAAGGCUGAUUCCUUGUGGUCUCUAAGGUCUGGAGAUGGUGAUAUGGAGCUCUGGCCUCUCUACCCCUCAUAAACAGCCUCCAGCCCCAGGAUGACCCCUUCCAUGGUCAAGUUCUCAAUAAGAGGCCCAGGCUUGCCUGUAAGCUUGUUGCCACUGAUUCUAGGGGGCUGAGUAUAAACAAUGAGAUGAUCUUGGAGUGUUCUGUUCCUAUUGUGUUAGCCUGGACUACCCAUCCUGGACAGAGCGGAUUUCAAGGUGCUUAGCUACGCAGUCUUCUCUGAUCCUGGAAAGAGAGGAGAAUGAGAUGGAGGGGCACUGUCAGGCACAUCAAAUCCAGUCAUGAGCCAGGCUUUCCCCCGGCUUUGAAGCCUGUGCCUAGUUGGUGGGAGCUGAGGGGAAGCUCCAUAUUGCUCUGCAUUGGGAAGAGUAGAGCGGAGUUGCUAAAAUCUUAGGGUCAACAGCGAACUCCACAGGAGAACUCCUCUAAAAUACAGCCAGGAACUGAAGAGCACUUUUGGAGGGGUCAGUUCUGGUUUCUGAGAACUGUCUUGUCGUUCUUUCAGUAAAGAACGCUGCCUUAGCAAGCGCGACCGACACAAAGUGCCCUGUUGCCACUGGGCUUAGUCAUUUUACCCCCACAUCCACACACCCACACACACACUGAGGGUGCCUCUUCAGCGAACUGUCCAAACUGGACUUUUCCUUGUCAUCACCAUGUCAAUCAUCUGGUGUGGGACCUUGUUGACUUCAGCCAAGACGAAGGCCCAUGACUAGAGAAAAACCUUGCUACUAGUCCAGGGAUUGAACCACCAUCUUUGGUCUUAUUAGCAUCGUGUUCUGACUGACAUGACUGACGCGGCCACUACAUCUCAGGAUAUUACUGGAAUAACCCAAAUCUAUAAAAAAAUUAAUUAGAUGUAAUUACACAUGCAUACACACACGUACACAUGAAUCCUAAACGAUUAUAUAUGCAUAUUGUGAUGGCAAGUGUUAUCAACUUGAUAGAAUCUAGCCCUACCUGGAAGAUGGACUUCCGGGCAAGCCUGUGGGAGGUUAUACUCACUGUGUUGAUUGACGUGAAGGGACCCACCUACUGACUGUGGCACUGUUCCCUGGCUGGGGUCCUGGCCUAUCGCAGGUGAAGACAAGGACCCCCGCAGCAGCAGGCACAUGCUGCUGUCUGCUGCCGGUUUGCGGGCGCAACGUGAUGAGCUGUUUUCUGCUGCCUUGACUUCCUCGCCAGGGUGGACUGUUCCCACGAACUGCGAGCCAGAGGAAGCCCCUUCUCCCUAAAGCUGUUUCUCUCAGACUGCUUUGUCACACUGCUGGAAGCUGUGGACCUAAGAAGCACACAUAUGAGGCGCACAUAAACACAGAGCUCCCUGGAGUCUUUUCCUUGAAAAGCCCAGUCUGGAAAUUCCCCAGCCACAGUCUUCAGUCAGACGUGUUCUGCUCAUAAUCAGAACCUCCUCAUCAAGGCCGUGGUAUGAACUGGAUCCAAAGAGGGGGCCAGGGAUGGAUGGCAGCCAUGACUGACACUGAGGGAGACGGACCCCCGUGCACCCCCACACCUCCAUCGCCUUUCAGACCGGGAGCCAUAUGGACUGCAGUUUUUCAUUCGGCAAAGACGAAAGGAAGGGUAGUGUCUUGGGAAACUUGUGAAUGAACGUGUCCUGGUUAUCUCGCUGCAGCCACACGCUCUUAAAGCCCAGCCGGCUGGGCUUUGCCUGGCCCCAGGUGAAGAGGCCUCCACUUUGGCAGUCCUUCUGCCAGGAUCGCUCUCUAGACCUCACACCAAAAUACUCACAAAUCCCAUCACCUCCUGUCGAGAGACAGCCCCAGUAUGGACCUGACAUUCUCUCCUGCCACUCCUAUCACAGCCUUCAGUGAGUCAGUGAGCUGCACCAGGGCAAGAGGGGACCUUCACCACGCAAUGACACGUCUGUCUGAUGGAUAAAUGGGUGCCCGCCUGAAUGAAUGAGUGAAUGAAUGAAUGAGUGCUUUCACUUCAUCUCUGUCUGUGAGAUCCACUUGGACACUGGACGCUUCUUCUGAGCAUGGCCACAAUGCAACCUCCUGAGCACCGCGCAUGGAUGCCUGUUACUCACUCCAGGACCUGCUUGCAGUCAGCCAAGCGCGUGCGGCAUCUUUGACAAGUUGGAUGCUGAGUGGGGAAACUUGAAUGCUUCCAUCUAUUUACUUUUACCACAUGCCAUAGAAAUUAAAAAUACAUUGUACCACAA